Molecule: ribosomal RNA, 1104 nt
Filed under: Triticum aestivum (bread wheat)
Lineage: Eukaryota; Viridiplantae; Streptophyta; Magnoliopsida; Poales; Poaceae
Description: partial small subunit ribosomal RNA
Source: RNAcentral
AUGGGUUCGAAUCUAAGAGAAAUUCUAGAUAAUGUUUCCUACCCUAAAAUUUUCUUGUCUUUCCCGAAUGCUAAGGAGAAGAAGAGGAUUGAGUCAAAAGAAAAAGCUAUUUUGGAGUUUUAUCAACAAUUUGCUUGUGUAGGUGGGGACCUGGUAUUUUCGGAGUCCUUAUGCGAGGAAUUACAAAAAAAAUUCCAAAAAUGUGAAUUAGGAAGGAUUGGUCGACGAAAUAUGAAUUACAGACUUAAUCUUGAUAUACCUCAGAACAAUACAUUCUUGUUACCACGAGAUGUAUUGGCCGCUACGGAUCAUUUGAUUGGAAUGAAAUUUGGAACGGGUAUACUUGACGAUGACGAUAUGAAUCACUUGAAAAAUAAACGUAUUCGUUCGGUUGCAGAUCUAUUACAAGAUCAAUUCAGAUUGUCUCUUGGUUUACAACAUGCAGUUCAAACAAGUAUUCAUAGAAUAUUCAUACAUCAAUCGAAACCGACUCCCCAAACUUUGGUAACUCCAACUUAAAUUUUAUUAAUAACUACUUAUGAGACCUUUUUUGGCACAUACCCGUUAUCUCAAGUUUUUGAUCAAACGAAUCCAUUAACACAAACUGUUCAUGGGAGAAAAGUGAGUUGUUUAGGUCCUGGAGGAUUGACGGGGAGAACUACAAGUUUUUGGAGCCGAGAUAUUCAUCCAAGUCACUAUGGGCGUAUUUGUCCAAUUGACACGUCUGAAGGAAUCAAUGUUGGACUUACUGGAUCCUUAGAAAUUCAUGCGAGAAUUGAUCACUUGUGGGGAUCCAUAGAGAGUCUGUUUUAUGAAAUAUCUGCUGAGAAAGCAAAAAAAAAAGAGAGACGGGUGGUUUAUCUAUCACCUAAUAGAGAUGAAUAUUAUAUGAUAGUAGCAGGAAAUUCUUUGUCCUUGAAUCAGGGUAUUCAGGAAGAACAGGUUGUUCCGGCUAGAUACCGUCAAGAAUUCUUGACUAUUGCAUGGGAACAGAUUCAUGUUAGAAGUAUUUUUCCUUUCCAAUAUUUUUCUAUUGGGGGUUCUCUCAUUCCUUUUAUUGAGCACAAUGAUGCGAAUCGGGCUUUAAUGAGUUCUAAUAUGUAG